This 253-nucleotide unclassified non-coding RNA is filed under the name uncultured Caryophanales bacterium. Its description in RNAcentral is "uncultured Bacillales bacterium contains 16S-23S intergenic spacer region". It matches the Rfam family "Bacterial small subunit ribosomal RNA", at positions 524 to 776 of the family's 1533-position model. The record is from RNAcentral. Lineage: Bacteria; Bacillati; Bacillota; Bacilli; Caryophanales.
UACGUAGGGGGCAAGCGUUGUCCGGAAUUAUUGGGCGUAAAGCGCUCGCAGGCGGUCUUUUAAGUCUGAUGUGAAAUCUCGUGGCUCAACCACGAACGGUCAUUGGAAACUGGAGGACUUGAGUACAGAAGAGGAGAGUGGAAUUCCACGUGUAGCGGUGAAAUGCGUAGAGAUGUGGAGGAACACCAGUGGCGAAGGCGACUCUCUGGUCUGUAACUGACGCUGAGGCGCGAAAGCGUGGGGAGCAAACAGG